This 320-nucleotide ribosomal RNA is filed under the name uncultured fungus. RNAcentral's name for it is "partial small subunit ribosomal RNA". It matches the Rfam family "Eukaryotic small subunit ribosomal RNA", at positions 30 to 352 of the family's 1831-position model. Lineage: Eukaryota; Fungi. The record is from RNAcentral.
GCUUGUCUCAAAGAUUAAGCCAUGCAUGUCUAAGUACAAGCCUCAGUAAGGUGAAACCGCGAAUGGCUCAUUAAAUCACACCUAAUCUACUGGAAAGUUACUAGUUACUUGGAUAACUGAGGUAAUUCUUGAGCUAAUACAUGCGAAAAAUCUCGACUCACGGAGAGAUGCUUUUAUUAGAUACAAAACCAACCCGGGCAACCGGUCCUUUGGUGAUUCAUGAUAACUUUGCGAAUCGCAUAGCUUUAAUGCUGGCGAUGGGUCAUUCAAAUUUCUGCCCUAUCAACUUUCGACGGUAGGAUAGAGGCCUACUGUGGUGA